GUUCAUGGAAGGUCCGAAUGCUGCAGAGAGCUUGAUAGGUCACCUGUGCUAGCAUGCAGAUCAGCCAAGGAUGCUUUAAAAGAAGAAGUGUGCCCUCCAUCAUGUAAAAAGACCCUAUGGUGGAUUAAUGUAAGAUUCUAAGUAAAAAUAUUCGUUCAGUUACAGCCAUAACUAAAACAGAAUUCAGACUAGCUUUAAUUCUACUAAUUAGAAUUUUAAUCAAAUACUUAUUGAUACAGUUUGAAUGCACAAUCCUGCCAAAUCUCAUGUUGAAUUGUAAUCUCCAGUGUUGGAGGUGGGGCCUGGUAAGAGGUAUUUGGAUCCUGGGGGCGGAUCCCUCAUAAAUGGCUUGGGUCAUCCCCUUGGUAAUGAGUGAGCUCUCUCUCUGAGUUCACAUGAGAUCUGGUCAUUUAAAAGGGUGUGGCACCCCCCGCCCCACUCUCUCCCCUACUCCUGCUUUUGCCAUGUGAUGUGCGUGCUCCUGCUUCACCUUCCACAAUGAUUGAAAGCUCCCUGAGGCUUCAUCAGAAGCCAGGCAGAUGCCAGCACCAUGCUUCCUGUAAAGCCUACAGAACUGAGCCAAUUAGACCUCGUUUCUUUAUAAAUUAUCCAGUCUCCAUAUUUUUUUAAUAGCAAUGCAAGAACGGCCUAAAACACUUACAUCGUACUUACUGUAUGCCAGGCUCUGUACAUUAAAAAUACCUUAAAAAUAAGUACUUAAAAAUACUAACUCAGCCAGGCACGGUGGCUCACGCCUGUAAUCCCAGCACUUUGGGAGGCCGAGGCAAGCGGAUCACUUGAGGUCAGGAGUUCAUGACCAGCCUGGCCAACCCCAUUUCUACUAAAAAGUACAAAAAUUAGCUGGUGUGGUGGUGCAUGCCUGUAAUCCCAGCUAUUUGGGAGGCUGAGGCAGGAGAAUCACUUGAACCUGGGAGGUGGAGGUUGCAGUGAGCCAAGAUCGUGCCAUUGCACUCCAGCCUGGGCAACAGAGCGAGACUCCGUCUCAAAACAAAAACAAAAAAAUUAACUCAUUCAAUCUUCAUAUAACAACCCUAUGUAUUUGAGUACUCUUUUGGGCACAUGGUAAAUAAAUCUCCUUUUUAUCUCACCAAUCCAGUCCAGUUCCUAAUGGAUGCUAGAGCCAAACCAUGAACACAAAUCCCAUUUGUGCUCCGAAGCAAUCCUACACCACGUUUUGAAAAUUAAUCAAAAUAUUUGAAAGCAAAACGUCCUAGUCAAUAUAAUCUGUACUUUUUCUAAAAUAGCUGAACCAGUAAAUAAAAAUAAUCUUGUUUCCUUGCUACUAGUAACUUCUCUCCUCAAGCUACCUUCAGUCCUAGAAGGGACAAAGUUGACAUUUACUGAACACUUAUUUUAAGCCAGAACAUGCCUCCCUGUACCCCCUCCCCACUUAACAUUUUAGCGGUAAGCCUGAGGCUCACAGAGGUUCAGCAAAGGAAUUACGGUCUUAAUGCUGGUAAGUGGAAGACAGAGAAUCAAGCCCUAUCAGUCUGAGGCCUUCUUCACUGUGGGACCUUGGUUGUUUCUCUUUGCAUAUCUAACACUUAGGAAAUGUGCAACACAUAUUUGUUAAAGAAAUGAAGGAAUGAACAGAUUCCCGUCUUGGUGACUGUAAUUUAACACUUUCAAUAGAUUACUCUGCAGCCAUCUUUCUUUUUUUAUAUAUUUAUAUUUAUUUAAUAAAUUCUCUAUUUUUGGACAUUUAGGGCAGCUAGAGGUAUUAUUGUAGAUAUUGCUGAGAUGAAUGUCCCUCUGACAAUUGUCUGAUUAUUUUCUUUUUUGAAAUUUUACUUUAAGUUCUGGGAUACAUGUGCUGAACGUGCGGGUUUGUUACAUAGGUAUACAUGUGCCAUGGUGGUUUGCUGCACCUAUCAACCUGUCAUCUAGGUUUUAAGACCCGAAUGCAUUAGGUGUCUGUCCUAAUGCUCUGCCUCCCCUUGUCCCCCACCCCUUGACAGGCCCCGGUGUGUGAUAUUCCCCUCCCUGUAUCCAUGUGUUCUCAUUAUUCAGCUCCCACUUAUGAGUGAGAACAUGUGGUGUUUGGUUUUCUGUUCCUGUGUUAGUUUGCUGAGAAUGAUGGUUUCCAGCUUCAUCCAUGUCUCUGCAAAGGACAUGAACUCAUCCUUUUUUAUGGCUGCAUAGUAUUCUAUGGUGUAUAUGUGCCACAUUUUCUUUAUCCAGUCUAUCAUUGAUGAGCAUUUGGGUUGGUUCCAAGUCUUUGCUAUUGUAAACAGUGCUCUGCAGCCAUCUUUCUAAAAUACAACUCUGACCCACUAAUGACUGGUUAGAUAAAAAUCAUCACCACCACCCCUGAAACGACAACUCUUUAUCUUACAGGAAUUGCAGACUUCCAGAAGCCCUAGCACCAUGUUUUUCAUACUGCAGCUUGUGACUGGUUAGGUCUUUACGUUGUCAUUUUUGUAAAUAAAAUGGAAUAAAUAGAAAAGUAUCUUGCAGGGCAGUUAGGUAAUUAUUUUGAGAAGUUCUUGUGUGUGCACUGGAAACCACGGACAAUGUCUUCCUCACUGUGGGUCACAGGCAAGUUUGGAAACCACUGCUUUAGCACACUGAGUCCCUCUGGACACUCUUUGACUUCUCUGUUUUUGUAUAGCUUUUCUCCUCAACUGGAAGGUUCUUCCCUUUUCUAUGCCUGGGGAGCUUCUAGUCAUCUUUCAAGUCCUAAUUUAAAUGUGUUAGUCACUCCGUGCUCACUCAUUCUUUCCUCUGGUGGGCAUCUGUUCCCAUCGCGGGGUAGGUAGGUAGUUUUUCGUUUGCUGGUCUCCUCUCAAGCUGUGGUUAAAGGCAGGGAACAUGCCAUUUUUAUUUUUGUCAUUCAAAUGCCCAUAACAGAGUUUGAUCUAUAGAACAGACUCUAAAAUGCUUACUAUAUUAUAGAACCCUGUAAUUAAUUUUUAUUGAACAUACAUUUAAUCCAUAUGUUUUCUACGUUUUUUUUUAAGAGACAGGGUCUUGCUCCACUGCCCAGCCUGCAGCACAGUAGCGUGAUCACGGCUCACUGCAUCCUCGAACUCCUGGGCUCAAGCAAUCUUCCCCCCUCAACCUCCCAAAGUGCUGAAAUUACAGGUGUGAGCCAACACACCUGGUCCCAAUUUCUAAUUAUUGUCAUAUGCAGAUUUUUAAAAGCAACAUCAUUCCUAUGUUAAUGCUUAAAAACAGUGAAAAGUGUUAAGACAACUCACGUCCAUUGACCGUGAUGCUGGGGUCUGUUCUGAACAAGAUGAACAGUAUGCAACAUGAUUAUGAUGCAAUAUGCUCCUAGUUUUUCCCAAUGUGGAUACAAUCUCAUUUAAAUCAACAAUGCCAUCAGGAGCAGAUUUCAGAAGAUCCAUACAGACCUGGCAAGGUGGCUCACGCCCGUAAACCCAGCGCUUUGGGAAGCCGAGGUGAGAGGAUUGCCUGAGCCCAGGAGAUUGAGACCAGCCUGGCCAACACAACAAGAUUCCGUUUCAAAAAGAAAGAAGACCCAUACACAUUUUAUUACAAAGAGCAAUGCAUCAAAAGGAGGCUUAUUAACUCCUGGUGGAAUAAAGCAGAACACAAAGAUUAGUAAAACUUAAAUGCUUUGAUUUCAACUAAAUUUCUCUCUUUAUAAACAGGCAUCAAUGGGGAUUUAAAGGAAACAAGCCAUAUACGACUUGGAUUAAAUCGGAAAAUAAUUUUCCCCCAUCAAUUUUGCUGUGUUCUUUAGAUUUUCAUUUAGUCAUUUACUUUUCCAGCUGCCUUUGGGAACACCUAGAAUUCUAGAAGAAAUGUGCAAAGUAGCUCAGUUCCUAAUGUGACAGAGGGUGGGUGGUUUUCUUUUCUUUCCACCUCCACCGCACCGUGGGUGCUGCGCUUCAUGACUGAAAUGCUACAGAAAUGCUUGGGAACAGCCCCCAGCCUCGACCACACAACCACUUCAUGUGUGAGCUUCGCGGUUCUGUGUUGAGACACGUUCUGCUUCAAGACCAGUGGGUUUGCAUUCUUGGCACAAAAUUUCAGGACAGUAUAAGCACUUGAUGUUGCCACCUUUGUAGACACCACUGCCAGGUUUUAACCUGGCAAGUUAAAAGACUGUAAGGUUUUAACUUCUCUCACUAUAGUUUCAGGCUAUAAAUAGAGGAGAACUAGGUAGGUGCUAUUCCCUCAGCAUGUGUGUGCACUGACUACAGUCGCAAAGAAAACGGAAGGUGACCUUGAGGACGAAAGGGCCAUAAAUCGCGACGGCAAAUUAUUGUACUAAAUAAAGGAGAAUGAAGCUGAGGAAAACAGUAGUACAUCCAGGUGAGGCUGGUCUGUAUUUACAGAAGUCAAAUCAUGUGACAAAAUGUACCAUCUAAGAAACAAAUAUUCCAGUUAUCAACUUGGACUUGCAAUCAUCUUGGACGCAGAUCUCAAUUUAGUAUCACAGAAUAUGAAAACUAAAAAGGAAUUUGGCCAGGCUCGGUGGCUCAUGCCUGUAAUCCCAGCACUUUGGGAGGCUGAGGCGGGCGGAUCACCUGAGGUCAGGAGUUUGAGACCAGCCUGGCCAACAUGGUGAAACCCCGCCUCUAUUAAAAACACAAAAAAUUAGCUGGGUGUGGUGGCUGGCGCCUGUAAUCCCAGCUACUCAGGAGGCUGAGACAGGAGAAUUGCUUGAACCCAGGAGGCGGAGGCUGCAGUGAGCUGAGAUCACGCCACUGCAUUCCAGCCUGGGCAGCAGAGUGAAACUCCAUCUCAAAUAAUAAUAAUAAUAAUAAUAAAUAAAUAAAUAAAUAAAUAAAAACAAAAAGGAAUUUUACAAUUAUAAUUUUAUAAUUUAUAUUUGUAAGAUGUAUCUAACAUCAUAGCCAGGGACAGAGCUGGGACUGCCACCCCAUGGGGCCAUGAUGGGCAGGAAGCGAAUGCUUGGUGUUUAUUCUCUCUCAGAUCCAAGUCCGCCCUUCUAGUUUCUAUUCUGUGAUCCUGGGACUGGCUCUCUGCAAACCCAUUUCCUGUAUUCCCUUGCUAGCUGGUAAGUUCUGACACUAGGAGGCAAUGGUAAGAGAGUGGAAAGCGGGAGGAGGAGGAACUUUUCUUCCUUUUUCUAGUUCCCGUCUGUGUCCCUACAGCAAUAGAAGAUUGUGAUGGCUCCAGUUUCCAGAUUGUUUUGGCAGCUCAAGUAUGUGGCUGUAUCCGUCCGGGGUGGCACACCAGCUGUGCCAUCCCCCAAUCAGAGGAUUGGGCCCCAGACAUUUGGUGGGUGUCUCCUUCCCCACUGGAAGUCCAAGCACUGUGGUGGCAUCUCCUCCGAGGUCUAAGUGCCAGCCGCGUGGGGACCUCUCCUAUGAGCCCCUACGUUACGGUAUCCCUACUUUUUCCUAGGGGUGGUAGUCACUUCCUGAAUUUGUUUUUAUUUUUUAAAUAACUGCUCCUUGAGGAGCAGGGCUAACUCAUAAGCAGUGUACCCAGAGUCGGCCCCUGAAUGUAUUCAUAUCUUACCUCAAUAUCCCCUUUCUGCUUCUUAGCCUUCCAACAUCUGAGUAACCCAUUUCCUGUCUUCACUCACCUCUGCUGUAAUACCUACAACGGUUUUCUUACUGGACCCUGACUGAUACAGACCUUGCUAUCAAAAGUGCAUUUACUGCCCCCUUGGCACACGUAUGUCUUACGAAGACAUCUGGGGUACUUGCUCCUUCCUGCUCGACAGGUCCAACGUCACAGAACAGUGUGAUGUCCUGAGGAGGCUCAAAAGAAUCAAGAUCCCUGCAGACCAGAUUAUGGCAAGAACAGAAAAAAUCACAUGGCCAGGGUAUUACGCUGACUUCUUGAGAGCAAGGACUUCUUUCUCACCAAGUUGAUUCAUUUAGAUUUGAUAUAUAAAAAUCACAUGAAUUCAUUUUGUUAACAAGAAUGUGAUCCAAAAAUGUCUUUUUCAAGUCAAUGCUAUUCUUCAGCAGCAUCUGUUUAAUUGAAAGCAAGUGAAGAAAUCUGAAUAAUCGUGAAUUCUCUGCCAGAUGGCAAUCAUCACCCAAAUUUGUGUUAGGCACCCAUUAUACGAGUAGCAAAUAAAUGCAUUCAGAGGGUCACUUUUCAUUGAGCGACUAGUGCUUCAACUUUGCCCAUCAUAAGCAACUGUCAACAGUUCCGAGUGAGCCGAAGGCAUUUAUGACACUAGUUUGUGAGGCUAUCUUGACUGCAUUAUUCUUUCCCUCACUGACCUGCGGCAGAGACUGCUAGUUGUCCCCAGACAUAUUAGUUAAGAUGGGCUAAGUCAUGUUGCAGUAAAAAUUAACUUCAAAUAAAUCUCAGUGCUUUGAUACAGUUCAUGUUGCAUGUAGAUUGGCAGAGGCUCCAUUCCCAUUCAGUCUCUGAGGGAUCCACGUCAGUGGAGGCUGCAGUGCCUUGUAGCUACAUCUGGAACCUGUGGCUUCCUUGGCUGCCUUGGCAGGGGAGAGCUACUGGAGACUAUAAUCUUGUCACCACGUGUCACCUCCCGUCAUAGCCAACUGGCUAGAACACACCAGAUGGCCUCACUAAUAGGUUCCAUCUUUUGGUUCCCAGAAGGGGAGGGGAACCAGAACUUGAUAGACACUUGAGUAUCUACCAUAUCCAGUUCCUAUUCUUCCCUUCUUGAAUAGCAACAGAAUUCUCGGUCGUUAGCUGGGCACGUGGCUGUCCCUCCCUCCUCUAAACACGACAUUUCUAAGUCUAAGUGGCUAAACUGUGACCAAUGGAUGUCAGUUAAAAGUGUGGUCACAACCUGCUGGAAGUGUCCUUAAGGACAGGAAUUGUACCCUUCUUCUCCUUCUUCAUCCUUCCUGCUGGCUAGCAUGUAAAUAAUACGUACUAUUAUGGGGUGGGCUCCAGCAGCUCCCUUGGAUUUUGAAGUGACCUUGGGAAUGGAAGCCAAGCAUGAAGAACCAAUACCUGGAAGGGGCCUUGGUUCCUGACCUCUUGGAGAACAAUACCAACUCGGGACUGUCUCCUUCCUAAAUGUGUGAGAGAAAUAAACUUCUGUCUUGUUUAA
This 7009-nucleotide long non-coding RNA is filed under the name Homo sapiens (human). Its description in RNAcentral is "non-protein coding lnc-GREB1-14:1". Lineage: Eukaryota; Metazoa; Chordata; Mammalia; Primates; Hominidae. The record is from RNAcentral.